Long non-coding RNA from Herpailurus yagouaroundi (jaguarundi), 431 nucleotides. RefSeq lists it as uncharacterized. NCBI's taxonomy places the organism in Eukaryota, Metazoa, Chordata, Mammalia, Carnivora, Felidae. The record is from RefSeq and is a predicted model, not a curated record. The transcript has 3 exons.
CCAGGUGUGGCCGGGGCACUGCACUGGCGCUCGGAGGCAGGUCACGGGGGCCAGGGAGCCCUGGACCCGGAACAGGGCCGCCGUAGGGCGAGGCCAGGGUGCCAGGAGCCAGGCCUCCGCGGGGAAGCGGGAUUCUGCCCGGUUCCAAACCGUGUUUGACCCCAGGGCGCCUGUAUUGCCCCUGAAGGCCAGGCUGGAGGAAAGACGACUACCUUGGGAGAGCGGGGGGCCUGGGGAAAAGUUUCAACCCAUCCAGUGAAGGUAUCUACAAAUACCAAGACGUAUUUGAAACCCCAGGGACCAGGGACAUGACAGCAAAAGAGUUAGCUCUUUUGGAUCUUGUCCUAAAGAGAGUGGGGAGAUUUUGAAUUCCUCGGAAGGACUAGUGUCCCAUCCUGUGACCGAAUUAAUGAUGUACAUUUGCUUCUUGG